UCUAAAAUGGCAGAGUUAAAUGCCUAAGACUUAAGAUCUUAUAACAAGGGGUUCCUUUUUUAGAA
This 65-nucleotide transfer RNA is filed under the name Spongicola levigatus. RNAcentral describes it as "tRNA-Leu". It matches the Rfam family "tRNA". From Rfam's summary of the family: Transfer RNA (tRNA) molecules are approximately 80 nucleotides in length. The record is from RNAcentral. Lineage: Eukaryota; Metazoa; Arthropoda; Malacostraca; Decapoda; Spongicolidae.